Molecule: ribosomal RNA, 523 nt
Filed under: uncultured bacterium
Lineage: Bacteria
Description: bacterial SSU rRNA
Rfam family: Bacterial small subunit ribosomal RNA
Source: RNAcentral
AGAGUUUGAUCCUGGCUCAGAUUGAACGCUGGCGGCAGGCUUAACACAUGCAAGUCGAGCGGAUGAAAGUAGCUUGCUACUGAAUUUAGCGGCGGACGGGUGAGUAAUGCUUAGGAAUCUACCUAUUAAUGGGGGACAACAGUUGGAAACGGCUGCUAAUACCGCAUACGCCCUACGGGGGAAAGCAGGGGAUCUUCGGACCUUGCGUUAAUAGAUGAGCCUAAGUCAGAUUAGCUAGUUGGUGGGGUAAAGGCCUACCAAGGCGACGAUCUGUAGCGGGUCUGAGAGGAUGAUCCGCCACACUGGGACUGAGACACGGCCCAGACUCCUACGGGAGGCAGCAGUGGGGAAUAUUGGACAAUGGGGGGAACCCUGAUCCAGCCAUGCCGCGUGUGUGAAGAAGGCCUUUUGGUUGUAAAGCACUUUAAGCGAGGAGGAGGCUCCCUAGAUUAAUACUCUAGGUGAGUGGACGUUACUCGCAGAAUAAGCACCGGCUAACUCUGUGCCAGCAGCCGCGGUAAUA